RNAcentral lists this ribosomal RNA (279 nucleotides) under uncultured Staphylococcus sp. Its description in RNAcentral is "partial 16S ribosomal RNA". It matches the Rfam family "Bacterial small subunit ribosomal RNA", at positions 83 to 355 of the family's 1533-position model. The record is from RNAcentral. Lineage: Bacteria; Bacillati; Bacillota; Bacilli; Caryophanales; Staphylococcaceae.
CCUUUGACGUUAGCGGCGGACGGGUGAGUAACACGUGGGUAACCUACCUAUAAGACUGGGAUAACUUCGGGAAACCGGAGCUAAUACCGGAUAAUAUUUCGAACCGCAUGGUUCGAUAGUGAAAGAUGGUUUUGCUAUCACUUAUAGAUGGACCCGCGCCGUAUUAGCUAGUUGGUAAGGUAACGGCUUACCAAGGCGACGAUACGCAGCCGACCUGAGAGGGUGAUCGGCCACACUGGAACUGGGACACGGUCCAGACUCCUACGGGAGGCAGCAGCC